RNAcentral lists this ribosomal RNA (492 nucleotides) under Triticum aestivum (bread wheat). RNAcentral's name for it is "partial small subunit ribosomal RNA". Lineage: Eukaryota; Viridiplantae; Streptophyta; Magnoliopsida; Poales; Poaceae. The record is from RNAcentral.
GGGUUUAGGGCCAGCUGGUUUAGGGAUUGGGAGCAAGGGGUAAGUGACGUCGCCGUCCCGCUCCGUUAUAACGAGUGCCAGCCGCCGCUCCGGCAUAGGAACGUGGUGCCGCCGUUCGGAGACCUCGAGUCUACCCUCCUAGACCGUAAGGCGCCUACCAGCUGGCGCCCCACUUCUACCUCCUGCUGCCCCUCGGUACCCGUUUCUAAUGCAGACAGCAGAUAACCGCGUUUUUCAGUCCUGGUACUCUACGGUCUACACCACCCACGUACGGCGCCGUGCUCCAUCUAGUGUGGAACGAACGUUCUUUCUCCAGGACCUCGUCUCAGAUUUCCUCUUUCUCCAGGACCUCGUCUCAGAAACCAAAUCAACGUUAGUACAAACGUUACCGACCCUCCAGGACUACGUACUUACUCGUUACAACUUCGAGAAGAAAACCACUUGAGUCACACGACAUCAUCGAUGAAACAUACACAUGACUUACUUUUACCG